Molecule: non-coding RNA, 89 nt
Filed under: Rodentibacter caecimuris
Lineage: Bacteria; Pseudomonadati; Pseudomonadota; Gammaproteobacteria; Pasteurellales; Pasteurellaceae
Description: Rodentibacter heylii TPP sequence
Rfam family: TPP riboswitch aptamer (THI element)
About the family: Vitamin B(1) in its active form thiamin pyrophosphate (TPP) is an essential coenzyme that is synthesised by coupling of pyrimidine and thiazole moieties in bacteria. The previously detected thiamin-regulatory element, thi box was extended, resulting in a new, highly conserved RNA secondary structure, the THI element, which is widely distributed in eubacteria and also occurs in some archaea.
Source: RNAcentral
CGCUAUUAGUCGGGGUGCCCAGUGGCUGAGAUGAUACCCGUGAACCUGAAACAGUUAGGACUGGCGUAGGAAACUGAUUAUGUACCCCC